GAAAUGCGAUAAGUAAUGUGAAUUGCAGAAUUCAGUGAAUCAUCGAAUCUUUGAACGCACCUUGCGCUCCUUGGUUUUCCUUGGAGCAUGCCUGUUUGAGUAUCAUGAAAUCUUCAAAGUAAAUCUUUUGUUAACUCAAUUGGUUUCUACUUUGGUAUUGGAGGUCUUUGCAGCUUCACACCUGCUCCUCUUUGUUCAUUAGCUGGAUCUCAGUGUUAUGCUUGGUUCCACUCGGCGUGAUAAGUUAUCUAUCGCUGAGGACACUGUAAAAGGUGGCCAAGGUAAAUGCAGAUGAACCGCUUCUAAUAGUCCAUUGACUUGGACAAUACUUUUAUGAUCUGAUCUCAAAUCAGGUAGGACUACCCGCUGAACUUAAGC
This 378-nucleotide unclassified non-coding RNA is filed under the name plant metagenome. Its description in RNAcentral is "partial contains 5.8S ribosomal RNA, internal transcribed spacer 2, and large subunit ribosomal RNA". The stretch from base 1 to 105 matches the Rfam family "5.8S ribosomal RNA", at positions 50 to 154 of the family's 154-position model. The record is from RNAcentral.